Molecule: small RNA, 71 nt
Filed under: Mariniflexile fucanivorans
Lineage: Bacteria; Pseudomonadati; Bacteroidota; Flavobacteriia; Flavobacteriales; Flavobacteriaceae
Description: Flavo-1 RNA
Source: RNAcentral
AAUACUUCGUAUUUGCAGCGGCAUCCUUUUUUGAGGUACGAAAAAAGAUAUAGCGUAAAGCCCGACCCUUG